This 409-nucleotide unclassified non-coding RNA is filed under the name fungal sp. RNAcentral describes it as "partial internal transcribed spacer region". The stretch from base 1 to 46 matches the Rfam family "Eukaryotic small subunit ribosomal RNA", at positions 1786 to 1831 of the family's 1831-position model. Lineage: Eukaryota; Fungi. The record is from RNAcentral.
AAGUCGUAACAAGGUUUCCGUAGGUGAACCUGCGGAAGGAUCAUUAAUACGUUUCUAAACGAACGUUUUAAACUCCAAAAUUUUAAUAGUGGAAAUAUAACUUCCGGAUGCAUAUGUAGGGAGGGGAAGAUUAGACCUUAAAAAAGUCUGGUUUUCUCCUUUUUGAAAAGGAAACUUCAUGCACUUUAUUGUGUGUGACACUUCAGAGUAGAGCAGUGAGGUGAAAACUUCGGUUUUGGUUUCUGAAAUACAUCUGUAUCCGGUUAUUCUCUGUUCUACAACCCUUUUAUUAAACAAUAAACCCCAUGUACAACAACUUGAACUAAACAAAUUUUGUUUUCUCUCUGUGAGAAGAUGAAGUAAAAUCUGAACUUAAGAACAACUCUUAACAACGGAUAUCUUGGUUCUC